GGGAACCUCACCCGGCCCGGACACCGCAAGGAUUGACAGACUGAGAGCUCUUUCUCGAUUCGGUGGGUGGUGGUGCAUGGCCGUUCUUAGUUGGUGGAGCGAUCUGUCUGGUUAAUUCCGAUAACGAACGAGACCCCAACCUGCUAACUAGCCCUCGGGUCCUGCUUCUGUUGGGCCCGACGGAAUGAUUCGCUUCUUAGAGGGACUCGCGGCGCCUAGCCGCACGAAGGGGGGCGAUAA
Molecule: ribosomal RNA, 240 nt
Filed under: uncultured eukaryote
Lineage: Eukaryota
Description: partial 18S ribosomal RNA
Rfam family: Eukaryotic small subunit ribosomal RNA
Source: RNAcentral